GAUGAACGCUGGCGGUGUGCCUAAUACAUGCAAGUCGAGCGAACAGACGAGGAGCUUGCUCCUCUGACGUUAGCGGCGGACGGGUGAGUAACACGUGGAUAACCUACCUAUAAGACUGGGAUAACUUCGGGAAACCGGAGCUAAUACCGGAUAAUAUAUUGAACCGCAUGGUUCAAUAGUGAAAGACGGUUUUGCUGUCACUUAUAGAUGGAUCCGCGCCGCAUUAGCUAGUUGGUAAGGUAACGGCUUACCAAGGCAACGAUGCGUAGCCGACCUGAGAGGGUGAUCGGCCACACUGGAACUGAGACACGGUCCAGAUUCCUACGGGAGGCAGCAGUAGGGAAUCUUCCGCAAUGGGCGAAAGCCUGACGGAGCAACGCCGCGUGAGUGAUGAAGGUCUUCGGAUCGUAAAACUCUGUUAUUAGGGAAGAACAAAUGUGUAAGUAACUAUGCACGUCUUGACGGUACCUAAUCAGAAAGCCACGGCUAACUACGUG
RNAcentral lists this ribosomal RNA (497 nucleotides) under uncultured bacterium. RNAcentral's name for it is "partial 16S ribosomal RNA". It matches the Rfam family "Bacterial small subunit ribosomal RNA", at positions 28 to 507 of the family's 1533-position model. The record is from RNAcentral.